RNAcentral lists this ribosomal RNA (31 nucleotides) under Myelochroa metarevoluta. Its description in RNAcentral is "partial 18S ribosomal RNA". Lineage: Eukaryota; Fungi; Ascomycota; Lecanoromycetes; Lecanorales; Parmeliaceae. The record is from RNAcentral.
CAUACCCACUGAACGUGCGGAAGGAUCAUNA